RNAcentral lists this long non-coding RNA (1642 nucleotides) under Rattus norvegicus (Norway rat). Its description in RNAcentral is "long non-coding RNA NONRATT021578". Lineage: Eukaryota; Metazoa; Chordata; Mammalia; Rodentia; Muridae. The record is from RNAcentral.
AUGGCAAGAAGGGGACCAGAGAAGGGGGAACUCGGGACAGAGACACUUGAAGAGAACGUUGCCGUAGUCCGGCCGCUGAGCACCCUGGGAAGGGUAGUUCGGUGUAAUCUGGCAUCUGGACUACAAUUCCCAAGAUGCCCCGGGAGCGAGCGCACUUUCGGACGCCGUCUCCGGGACCUGGAGGUGAUAAUGAGGUGGUGCAGAAGUGAAGCUUCGGGUAUUUAAACACAUCCGGUAAGUCACCAGAGACUACUUUUCCAGCUGCUCGUCCCACUCACUGGAGCCAUUUUAUCUAUGGCCUGGCCUCAUGGACCGAGGCACUCUGGGAAUUGUGGUUUCACAUGAGUCCGGACUGACACCUGAAGGACGCGGCUUAACUGCCUCGCCCCAGUUGGGAUUGGGAGUUCCCCGACGUCACGGGAGCUGAGGUACUGAAGGCUUGGGGGCUGGGGAGAAGUGGGUAUGAUGCCAGCAGGGAGCCAAGCGGAAUCUCAGUGCUGAAGGAAACAAAGCAGGUGUCUUCCGGCCACCGACCACGAUAAAAACUCCAGAGAAGCCCGAGAAUCGAAGAAGGAACUGCGGGACACCCAGUACACGGAGCAUCUAAGGACCAGGGUACAGUCCAUCCUUGGGCUCCACCCCAAUCCAUGGCUUUCCACCGACCCAGACUUGCCUGGUCCUCACCAGACAAAUUCAGGCGGGAACUUUAGACACACCUACUGCUUUCUCUUCCAGAAUCUUAAAACUAGAAGAUGCUGGGUUUAAGCAUCGCUUGGGUGAGGAUAGAGUACAAGGCUGUGUGCUUGGCACCUGUCAAAUACUGAAGCUUUGGAAAGGAAUUGAGAUCUCUGCUCCUAGAUUGCCUCACAGAGGAUAUUGAUGCGGUGCCAAAUCCUUGCCUUCCCUGCGCCCUCCCCCCAAGAAAUACAUGUUUUUUCUCUUCUUUGACAUAGGUUAUUUUUCUCCUCCGCCAGCUUUCCACACUUCUUGAUUAUGCAAACGCCCUCUUACAGUUCAUCCCAGAAUUUCUACUUCAAGCACUUGAGGAAGAUCUAGAAGGGUGGCCCCCAGCAAGUAAAAAGAUGGCUCUUGACUAAUCUGAAUGUUGAGCUGGGCUGAGCUGGCGGUGGCUGCUGCGGUUUCUUGUUUCAUGUGGUGCCAUAGUCAUCUAACUCCCCAGAGAGAGAUAGCAUCUUUCCUUCCAGAGAAGCCAGCCUUGCCACCUCGGUUCACACAAUCCUGCAGCCACCUUGAGGGUGAGACUCAGCACCUGCUGAGCAUCCCUUUAACUCAACCCACGGGAUGUGCUCUCCUCACCUUCCUUAAAAGGCUUGAUUUCUGUCUAAAGAAGCUUGAUGUGUAUCUUAAAAUAGAUGGGAAGUCUUAUUGGGCUGAUAGACCCUCAUCUUUCUCAGCACCUGUUCAUUUUGAGGGACUUUUAAAGAAUGUAUUAGUUUCUCUAUCCAUCCAGCCCUGUUGCCUUAUCAGGUUUUACUUUUCUCCACUUUUCUGGUACAGACCAGGUUUGCCCAAAUCUCAAACCACACUUCAGACAAAGUUUUCCAGCGGGAGCAGCUUGCUCCCAUUGAAUAAUAUGUAUUUACUAGGUAAUCAACCUGAAUGAAAAGCCACUGUUUAACAG